Molecule: ribosomal RNA, 405 nt
Filed under: uncultured bacterium
Lineage: Bacteria
Description: bacterial SSU rRNA
Rfam family: Bacterial small subunit ribosomal RNA
Source: RNAcentral
GUGGGGAAUAUUGCACAAUGGGGGAAACCCUGAUGCAGCGACGCCGCGUGAGUGAAGAAGUCAUUCGUGAUGUAAAGCUCUGUCAGCAGGGAAGAAAAUGACGGUACCUGACCAAGAAGCCCCGGCUAACUACGUGCCAGCAGCCGCGGUAAUACGUAGGGGGCAAGCGUUAUCCGGAUUUACUGGGUGUAAAGGGAGCGUAGACGGCUGUGCAAGUCUGGAGUGAAAUGCCGGGGCCCAACCCCGGAACUGCUCUGGAAACUGUAUGGCUGGAGUGCAGGAGAGGUAAGUGGAAUUCCUAGUGUAGCGGUGAAAUGCGUAGAUAUUAGGAGGAACACCAGUGGCGAAGGCGGCUUACUGGACUGUAACUGACGUUGAGGCUCGAAGGCGUGGGGAGCAAACAGG